Nicotiana tabacum (common tobacco) is the source of this 300-nucleotide non-coding RNA. The record is from RefSeq and is a predicted model, not a curated record. NCBI's taxonomy places the organism in Eukaryota, Viridiplantae, Streptophyta, Magnoliopsida, Solanales, Solanaceae.
GAAGUCUUUGAUCAAUGAUGGUGCUUGGAAGUCUCGUAUCCUUCAGGCUUUCACGACAGUUUUGCAGAAAUGCAGUCCAGAGUCCUCAAUGAAAUUGGUUUGCCUUUCUGCUAUUGAGGAAAUGUUACUUCCUGAGCAGGAUUGGCUUUAUCUGGAUCCUAAGGAUCUUGAAAUAUUUAAUCAUCAAAUUGCGUGGAUAAGGGAGCUUCCAAAGCUGUUAGUCCUCUUAGGUGAUAAACACCCAUUACAUGCAAAGGCUGUGUUGCGUCUUCAACUUCGUCUUGGACAAGCUGCUAGUUU